UAGGGAAUCUUCGGCAAUGGACGAAAGUCUGACCGAGCAACGCCGCGCGAGUGAAGAAGGUUUUCGGAUCGUAAAACUCUGUUGUUAGAGAAGAACAAGGACGUUAGUAACUGAACGUCCCCUGACGGUAUCUAACCAGAAAGCCACGGCUAACUACGUGCCAGCAGCCGCGGUAAUACGUAGGUGGCAAGCGUUGUCCGGAUUUAUUGGGCGUAAAGCGAGCGCAGGCGGUUUCUUAAGUCUGAUGUGAAAGCCCCCGGCUCAACCGGGGAGGGUCAUUGGAAACUGGGAGACUUGAGUGCAGAAGAGGAGAGUGGAAUUCCAUGUGUAGCGGUGAAAUGCGUAGAUAGAUGGAGGAACACCAGUGGCGAAGGCGGCUCUCUGGUCUGUAACUGACGCUGAGGCUCGAAAGCGUGGGGAGCAAACAGG
This 429-nucleotide ribosomal RNA is filed under the name Gemmatimonadota bacterium. Its description in RNAcentral is "Gemmatimonadetes bacterium partial 16S ribosomal RNA". It matches the Rfam family "Bacterial small subunit ribosomal RNA", at positions 355 to 776 of the family's 1533-position model. The record is from RNAcentral. Lineage: Bacteria; Pseudomonadati; Gemmatimonadota.